This is a small nucleolar RNA of Meriones unguiculatus (Mongolian gerbil), 127 nucleotides long. Lineage: Eukaryota; Metazoa; Chordata; Mammalia; Rodentia; Muridae. The record is from Ensembl.
UCUGCUCCUAAAGGAAGGUGUGGCUCCUGUGUCCCAGGUACAUCAAUAGGUUUCAGAAAGAAGAGAAGCUCUGUCUAUGCUCAAUGUUCUGACUUGUGAACAUCUGGAUGAUUAGUAUUCUAAAACG